UCCCUGGUGGCUCAGAUGAUAGAGCGUCUGCCGGCAAUGCAGAAGACCCAGGUUCGAUCCCUGGGUCGGGAA
This 72-nucleotide transfer RNA is filed under the name Bos taurus (domestic cattle). It matches the Rfam family "tRNA". Rfam says of the family: Transfer RNA (tRNA) molecules are approximately 80 nucleotides in length. Lineage: Eukaryota; Metazoa; Chordata; Mammalia; Artiodactyla; Bovidae. The record is from Rfam by way of RNAcentral. RNAcentral also lists the same sequence under 1 other name.